UUUGGCAGCAAUCACUUGACAGCUUCCUGUGGUGUAAUUAAAAAAAACAACCCCAAUACGCAGAGUCCAGAGAGCUGUCUUGAGGCAGCAAGCGAAGAGUGGUGGGUUGAAAACACCUGACUGGACUCUUUCUUGUGCCAGAAGAGUCAGCUCUUCCUGCACAAAAGCCUAAAUUUCAAUUUUCACAUAAUUCACAACCCUGGGCAAACCCUGAGAAUCAGAUACUGUUUCCCACAUAAUGGGGGAAGCUGGACUGUGGCAAGACUUGAAGGAUCGACAGACUUGAUAUAUUCCUCAGCUUACAAACCUGGGAUAAACGGAGUCAAGAAGAGUCAGUUCAGGUAAGCUAAAGGAGCACCUGUCCAAGGAGCAUAGCAUGCGGGAAACGUUGGAAGAAUCUCAAGCCGUCCUGCUCUAUCGGAUGGAGGAUAUGGAAGCGACAGUGGAGAAAGAACAGAAACAGUUUGGGAUUUGACAAGCUGAACCUAAGGACAGCCCACUACACACCCCUUGCGGCUGCAAUCGCUUGAAAAGAGAGACUGCUGAGUAUGUGAGGCAAG
This is a long non-coding RNA of Hemicordylus capensis (graceful crag lizard), 560 nucleotides long. RefSeq lists it as uncharacterized. The record is from RefSeq and is a predicted model, not a curated record. NCBI's taxonomy places the organism in Eukaryota, Metazoa, Chordata, Lepidosauria, Squamata, Cordylidae. The transcript has 3 exons.